Molecule: ribosomal RNA, 497 nt
Filed under: uncultured bacterium
Lineage: Bacteria
Description: partial 16S ribosomal RNA
Rfam family: Bacterial small subunit ribosomal RNA
Source: RNAcentral
GAUGAACGCUGGCGGCGUGCCUAAUACAUGCCAGUCGAGCGAACGGACGAGAAGCUUGCUUCUCUGAUGUUAGCGGCGGACGGGUGAGUAACACGUGGAUAACCUACCUAUAAGACUGGGAUAACUUCGGGAAACCGGAGCUAAUACCGGAUAAUAUUUUGAACCGCAUGGUUCAAAAGUGAAAGACGGUCUUGCUGUCACUUAUAGAUGGAUCCGCGCUGCAUUAGCUAGUUGGUAAGGUAACGGCUUACCAAGGCAACGAUGCAUAGCCGACCUGAGAGGGUGAUCGGCCACACUGGAACUGAGACACGGUCCAGACUCCUACGGGAGGCAGCAGUAGGGAAUCUUCCGCAAUGGGCGAAAGCCUGACGGAGCAACGCCGCGUGAGUGAUGGAGGUCUUCGGAUCGUAAAACUCUGUUAUUAGGGAAGAACAUAUGUGUAAGUAACUGUGCACAUCUUGACGGUACCUAAUCAGAAAGCCACGGCUAACUACGUG